This 2944-nucleotide ribosomal RNA is filed under the name Xylanibacillus composti. RNAcentral describes it as "23S ribosomal RNA". It matches the Rfam family "Bacterial large subunit ribosomal RNA". Lineage: Bacteria; Bacillati; Bacillota; Bacilli; Caryophanales; Paenibacillaceae. The record is from RNAcentral.
AAUUUCUAGGUUAAGCUAGAAAGAGCGCACGGAGGAUGCCUAGGCGCCAGGAGCCGACGAAGGACGUGGCGAACAACGAAAUGCCUCGGGGAGCCGUAAGCAGGCUACGAUCCGGGGAUGUCCGAAUGGGGGAACCCACGUGCCGUAAUAGGUACGUACACCCUGCUGAACACAUAGGCAGGGCUGAGGCAGACCAGGGGAACUGAAACAUCUAAGUACCCUGAGGAAGAGAAAACAACAGUGAUUCCGUCAGUAGCGGCGAGCGAACGCGGAUUAGCCCAAACCAGUGAGCAUGCUCACCGGGGUUGUGGGACACUCCGCAUGGAGUUACAAAGGGUUAGGCUAGGUGAAGCAGUCUGGAAAGGCUCACCAUAGGGGGUAACAGUCCUGUAGCCGAAAGUCUGACCUCUCCGGAGUGGAUCCCGAGUAGUGCGGGGCACGUGAAACCCCGUAUGAAUCCGGCAGGACCAUCUGCCAAGGCUAAAUACUCCCUGGCGACCGAUAGCGAAGCAGUACCGUGAGGGAAAGGUGAAAAGCACCCCGGGAGGGGAGUGAAAGAGAACCUGAAACCGUGCGCUUACAAGAAGUCAGAGCCCUAUGAUGUUUCAUCACGGGUGAUGGCGUGCCUUUUGUAGAAUGAACCGGCGAGUUACGUUUGGUUGCGAGGUUAAGGUGAGAAGCCGAAGCCGCAGCGAAAGCGAGUCUGAAUAGGGCGAGUAUAGUAACCAGGCGUAGACCCGAAACCGGGUGAUCUACCCCUGUCCAGGGUGAAGGUGAGGUAACACUUACUGGAGGCCCGAACCCACGUACGUUGAAAAGUGCGGGGAUGAGGUGGGGGUAGCGGAGAAAUUCCAAUCGAACUCGGAAAUAGCUGGUUCUCCCCGAAAUAGCUUUAGGGCUAGCCUCGGUUUAGAGUAGCGGAGGUAGAGCACUGAUUGGGUGCGGGGUCCGUCAAGGAUUACCAAGUCUAGUCAAACUCCGAAUGCCGCAUAUUUGAUGACCGGGAGUCAGACGGUGAGUGCUAAGAUCCAUCGUCAAGAGGGAAACAGCCCAGACCAUCCGCUAAGGUCCCGAAGUUUGUGUUAAGUGGGAAAGGAUGUGGAGUUGCACAGACAACCAGGAUGUUGGCUUAGAAGCAGCCACCAUUGAAAGAGUGCGUAAUAGCUCACUGGUCGAGUGACUCUGCGCCGAAAAUGUAACGGGGCUAAACACAGCACCGAAGCGAUGGCAUCGAAAGAUGGGUAGGGGAGCGUUCUGUACGGGUGGAAGCUUGUACCGUGAGGAGCAGUGGACUGUACAGAAGUGAGAAUGCCGGUAUAAGUAACGAAAAGACAGGUGAGAAUCCUGUCCGCCGAAAGCCUAAGGGUUCCUGAGGAAGGUUCGUCCGCUCAGGGUCAGUCGGGACCUAAGGCGAGGCCGAAAGGCGUAGUCGAAGGACAACAGGUAGACAUUCCUGUACCACCGUAGCCGUUAUGAGUGAUGGGGUGACGCAGGAGGGAAGGACCGCAGACGGAUGGAAGGGUCUGUCCAAGCAGUAAGGCGGGUGCAUAGGCAAAUCCGUGCACUGGUAACGUUGAGCUGUGAUGGGGAGGGGAACUUGAAGUACCCGAAGGGUUUGGCCUCAUACUGCCGAGAAAAGCCUCUAACCAGGCGAAGGUGCCCGUACCGCAAACCGACACAGGUAGGCGAGCAGAGCAUGCUAAGGCGCGCGGAAGAACUCUCGUUAAGGAACUCGGCAAAAUGACCCCGUAACUUCGGGAGAAGGGGUGCCUCGGUAGGGUGAAUAGCCCGAGGGGGCCGCAGUGAAAAGGCCCAAGCGACUGUUUAGCAAAAACACAGGUCUGUGCGAAGCCGCAAGGCGAAGUAUACGGGCUGACGCCUGCCCGGUGCUGGAAGGUUAAGGGGAGAGGUUAGCGUAAGCGAAGCUUUGAACCGAAGCCCCAGUAAACGGCGGCCGUAACUAUAACGGUCCUAAGGUAGCGAAAUUCCUUGUCAGGUAAAUUCUGACCCGCACGAAUGGCGUAACGACUUGGGCGCUGUCUCAACGAGAGAUCCGGUGAAAUUUUAAUACCUGUGAAGAUGCAGGUUACCCGCGACAAGACGGAAAGACCCCAUGGAGCUUUACUGCAGCUUGAUAUUGGACUGGGGUACGACCUGUACAGGAUAGGUGGGAGCCAUGGAAGCCGGUGCGCCAGCAUCGGUGGAGGCGCCGUUGGGAUACCACCCUGGUUGUAUUCGAGUUCUAACCUGGUACCGUAAGCCGGUACAGGGACCGUGUCAGGCAGGCAGUUUGACUGGGGCGGUCGCCUCCUAAAGUGUAACGGAGGCGCCCCAAGGUUCCCUCAGAAUGGUUGGAAAUCAUUCGGAGAGUGCAAAGGCAGAAGGGAGCUUGACUGCGAGACGAACAGGUCGAGCAGGGACGAAAGUCGGGCUUAGUGAUCCGGUGGUUCUGAAUGGAAGGGCCAUCGCUCAACGGAUAAAAGCUACCCUGGGGAUAACAGGCUUAUCUCCCCCAAGAGUCCACAUCGACGGGGAGGUUUGGCACCUCGAUGUCGGCUCAUCGCAUCCUGGGGCUGAAGUAGGUCCCAAGGGUUGGGCUGUUCGCCCAUUAAAGCGGUACGCGAGCUGGGUUCAGAACGUCGUGAGACAGUUCGGUCCCUAUCUGUCGCGGGCGCAGGAAAUUUGAGAGGAGCUGUCCUUAGUACGAGAGGACCGGGAUGGACGUACCGCUGGUGUACCAGUUGUCUCGCCAGAGGCAUGGCUGGGUAGCUAAGUACGGAAGGGAUAAGCGCUGAAAGCAUCUAAGCGUGAAGCCCCCCUCAAGAUGAGAUUUCCCACAUUGGUAAGACCCCUGGUAGACGACCAGGUCGAUAGGUUCGAGGUGGAAGUGCAGCAAUGCAUGCAGCUGACGAAUACUAAUCGGUCGAGGGCUUAACCAAAUUAC